Ictalurus punctatus (channel catfish) is the source of this 8201-nucleotide long non-coding RNA. The record is from Ensembl. NCBI's taxonomy places the organism in Eukaryota, Metazoa, Chordata, Actinopteri, Siluriformes, Ictaluridae.
CCAUUCUCAGAUCAGGCCUAGUAGCAGAGCUGUGGCCGCCCGGUUCCCCUGGCUGUCUGCGGGGGUUGGCGGGCUGCCAUACUCACCUUCUGGGUCUCCCUUGCACUAGUGCUGGCCCGGCCAGGUGUGCUCGAGACAACAGGGAAGGAACUGGCUUUUUUGAAUGCCGCCAUAUGUCGAGCUCACUCAGCAGGUCUGCUUGGUAGGCUUGCAACACUGUCAUUGUCUGCAGUGACCCACAAGCAAGACUACUACUGCAUAGGCUUGCCCACCAAUGCCACGGUGGUCUUACACGGUGGUUUGGAUGGCAAAGCCGGCCCCCCUAAUUACCUGCCGUCAAUAGAGAGAGGUGGCUCGCAAGCGCCUCCUCCACCUUCAGCAUAGCUAAAUAGCCAUGCCGUUUAUUCCCCACAAUGGCCGAAUAAUCCAAUAUCGUGGGGUUAUAAAUAAGACAUGCAUGGUUUUCCCCCAGAAGCCUGAUAUUUUGUCAUGCACUUCUGGAAGAAAGGGGAGUUUCUGGAGUGUGAGGGAUUUGCUGGAGUGUGAGGGAUUUUGUGAGGGAUUUGAUUUACUUUCACUGGGGAGAAAAAGGCUCAUCCAGCCUUAGUAAUCACUUCAAGCAGCUCUUUAUAUGCUGUUCUCAGUUUUUAGCACAUCCUUCUGGCUCCUCGGAGUCAGAGAGGAAUUAUUACUAUUUUUUGGUGUGUGUGUGUGUGUGUGUGUGUGUGUUUUUUUCCACUUUUUUUCUUCUUCCCCUUUUGGCUUUCCAUAGCGGAAGGAGGAGUCGCGACGCGACCUCCAAAAUCCAGCUGUGAGCCGAACCCGGAAGACAAAGCAAGAGACAGAGCAGCGUUCCUUUCCGGCUCCAUAAGCGAUCCCGCGAACCUGAGCCGGCCCAGAUCCGCGAGGCUCUGAAACCCAACUCGCUUCGGCUUCCGAGAAGAGCGCGAGUCGCGAGCCGAGCUGUUUAAUGUAGCCAUUACCAUGCGCAGCCUCUCGAGGCUGCCAUCGCAUACUACACUCCUAAACACUUCACCCAGAAAUUGUGCGCUUUUCCCAGUGAUGAAACGGGAGCAAGGCGUAACAUACUUCCUCGUUACUUACGUCUCUUUUCUCUUAUGGCAGGACUAUAAGUAGAGGCAUGAUUUUACACAAGCUUCAGAUACCGUCACGCGCAAGGCGCUUCCCAUACUGUUCUGGUAAAUGCGACGUCGAAGAAGGGAACAAGAGGCUUAUCCAUCUCUAAUAUCAUUAGCUAAUUGAAGUCUAUUAAAUGCACAAAGCUAAAUGUAAGUACUACUGUAAUUGACACGGUGACUGGAAUUAUCCUGCAUUAGCAAAGCUGCAGCUAGACAGCUAGCAUGCUACCAUCUGUGCAUUUAUUGCCUAAAUCUGCCUCAUAAAUGUUCAUACUGCAUAGUCACUGCCAGCUAAAAAAAAAAAAAAAAAAAAGAGGAAGAAAUGGAAUUGGAAUUAAUUGCUUGGCCAUUUGUAAAAUCGUCCCCUCUGGAAGUAUUUGAAUGGCAAGGCCAAUUCUUUUUUUAUUAUUAUUAUUUUUUUUUAUUUGGGCUUGAUACCAAAAGAUGACUAGGAGAUGAUGGAUCAUAAUUUCAGCUUUCAUUUUCUGGUAUUUAAAUCUAGAUGUGUUAAAAAACUUAAGACAUAGCACCUUUUGUUUGAACCCACCCACUAGUGAUAAAAAGUGUUGGAACGUGACUGACCAGUGUUACUUGUUGCCCAGGUUUGCCCUAUUAGAUUGAUUGUUUAAACAAUUCAUAGCUCUGAAUGUCUACUGCAUUUGUUGUUAAAAAAGGAUAAUCCAACAUAAAGACCAUAGAGCCGUCUAUGGGAGAAAAGCAAGCCAUUUUGAAUCUGAGAAAAGAUGGAAAAUCGAUCACAGCAAUUGCACAAGCAUUGGGCAUAGCAAAUACAACAAUUUGGAAUGUCCUGAACACAAAAAAAAAACCCAGUGGUGUACUAACAACCAGACAUCAGACAGGUUGACCAAGGAAAACAACAGCAGUUGACAGAAACCUGCUGAAGUUGUGAGGAAAAACCCAAACACAACAAUCAGUGACAUCACCAACAACCUUCACAGGACUGGGCUAUAGGUAUCACAAUCUUUUUUCAAAGUUUGUUUGUUUGUUUGCUUGUGUUUUAAUGCCAUGCCAGCUUCUAUGGCUAUUUUCAUGGCGAGAAAUGUCAUAUCCCAGCAAACCAGUGACUACAUUUCCCAUCCUGCACUGUGGCCUACAAACAUGGACCGCAAUUCCCAGAACACUCAGUUUCAUUCUAAUCACGCACACCUUCAUCCAAUCUCACACCACGCAUAAGAGACUGUUUGAACACUAAGUCUCUGCAAAGUAUUACGUGUGUUUUCCUUAUACCAAGCCGUUGUUCAUUGUGUUUUGUGUCCUAGUUUUGAUUUUGUUUUUGCCCUCGUUUUUGAUUCUUAUUUUGCCUCGUUUAUUCCUGUUUGCUGAUCGCCUGAACUAUUGCCUGUUUGUGACCACAUCUAUGUUUCACAUUUGGAUUUGUCUGCCUGUCUCUCAUAUAAUAAAGAUCUUAUCUACAUUUGUAUCCCUCCUCAACUCCAUUACGUGACAGAAUACUUUGCCUCACCAUGGAUGCAGCAGGAAGAAGGAGGAACACCCUCCUUCUUACCGUUCCUGUAAUAAGGAACACCCUCCCAAGGCUCAACUCCAUCAAGCUUCCUCAAUUUGUUGCCAUGUAUCCCCCAGAGCCAUAUGAUGGAUUUUCGGCUACCCUGAGUAUUUUUUGUUCGAAUGCCAAUUAUAUAUUUUAAGCCUGUAAGGGUCUGGCCCGUACAGAAUCCAAGGGUCUUCACAAUGUAACUCAGUUUGUGGGACUAUUGGUAAAGGAGUUUGGGAGUUCAGAGUACACCCCCAACCUGGAUGAGUUUUUUGGGGAGAGCCAGUCUCAUGAAUGAACCUGCGAGGCCAUUCAACACCUACCACAAGACGACCUCCUCCCCGGAGCUCCAGCUCGAGACCCACGAGGUGGUCUCACCUGCUGAGCUCCAGCUGGAGGUCAACGUAGCGACCUCCUCCCCAGAGCUCCAACCUGAGACCCACGAGGUGGUCUCACCUGCUGAGCUCCAGCCAGAGGUCAACGUGGUGACCUCCUCCCCAGAGCCCAGGUUGGAGGUCAACAGGGCGAACUCCUCCUCAAAGCUCCAGCACGAGACCCAUGAGGUUGUCUCCUCUCCAGAGCUCCAGCAUGAAGUGAAGUUCCUGAACGAGGUCGACGAGACGGCCUCCCAAGCCACGUGCCUGUCCCAGGUCAACGAGACGGCGUCCCAAGCCACGUGCCUGUCCCAGGUCGACGAGACGGCCUCCCAAGCCACGUACCUGUCUCAGGUCGACGAGACGGCCUCCCAAGCCACGUGCCUGUCCCAGGUCGACGAGACGGCCUCCCAAGCCACGUGCCUGUCCCAGGUCGACGAGACGGCCUCCCAAGCCACGUGCCUGUCUCAGGUCGACGAGAUGGCCUGCCAAGCCCUGUUCCUGUCUCAGGUCGACGAGACGGCCUGCCAAGCCCCGUUCCUGUCCCAGGUCGACAAGACGGCCUCCCAAGCCACAUUCCUGCACGUUGCAUGGCUGCUUCUGGCUCACAAGUCUAAAGAAAUCUACAGAAACAUUCUAUAUACCAAUUCACAGAGAAGGACAUACAGUCUAACUGAGAGGAACUUCAUAAUGCAGCAAGACAAUAACCCAAAACACACUGCCAAAACAUCAAAGGAUUUUAUGAGGGGGGAAAUGUGAAAGAUUUUAGACUGGCCAAGUCAAUUUUCAAACUUUAACCCAAUUGAGCAGCAUUUCAUUUCUGAAGAGGAGACUGAAGGGAGAAACCCCCCAAAACAAACAACAGCUGAAAGAAGCUGUGGUACAAGCCUGGAAAAAAAAAAAGAAAAAAGGAUGCAACAAUUGAUGUUAGUGGGUCGCCAGCUUGACGCAGUUAUUGCAAGCAAGGGAUAUGCAAUACUUUUGGAGGGGACUGUAUAUGGAGUGUGUAGAUCCGGGAAGGUAUGGUACUUUACUUUAAAACUUUACGCUUGAUUAUAUAAUCAUAGAUAAUCAAGAUAAGUUGCUUUAGACAUAGCUACAAAGAUGAACAUAAAAAGAUAAACAAAUUGUUAAUCUCUACAAAAUGCAUCAAAUUUCUGUAAAUGCACAUUAAUGUUUAUUAGCAGCCAGAGCAUAUUCAGAUAUCUAGAACUACUUUGUGAUCCUUCCUGUCACAAGGCAUACAAAUCCCUGGAAUUCUCAUUACUUUGUCUGCUUUUGUGAUCUAAGUUUUUGUCAUUGCUAAACUGGGGAAAUAUUAAAUGGAUAUAUAAACUGAGGUAAUAUUGCUUGUUACAAAGAACGUAUAGUGUAAAUUGCCAUUAGCUGGAAACAGACCAAUAUGAUCAAAAUUUGACUUUUUCUGACAGUAGUAUAUUUUGAAUCUCUAUUGAAAAAAUAUAAAAACUUUCUCAAAAUGACAGUUUAAUUUGUUAUUUUCCAACAAAUGUCUAAAUACAGAUGUUAGCUAAAGAGCCAGUUUAACAAGUACAAUGGUAAAUGCAUUCAGUGUGAGUAAGAUGUCUUAAGUUCUCAUGAUUUGAUCAUGUUUUUAGUCACAUGUCACAGUAAAACUCAUAAUCCUAAUCAGAUAUGUUUGUGAACAAAUUGUGGCUGUCAAAAUGUCUGCAAUGCUCCUGUGGCAUCACGUCAUCAUGAAAUAAGAGAAGAGCACUGUACAGAUAACAGCAUAAGUUUGAAAAAUCUUUAAUUAACAAUACAAUGACGUUAAUAACAAGAAAUUUAGUCAGCAGAACAGAACUGACUGAAUUAAUUAGAGAUAAUUUCCCCAAUUGUUUUAGCAUGAACAGUGAUCAGUUGAGUGAAGAGAUGAUGAUGAUUCUGAGGCUUAUAUUUAAAUACUGUGAGUGACUUUGAUAAGACAGAGACCGAUGUAGAUGAUGCUGAUAAUCAUUGUGAUAACUUUGUGAUCAUUUCCCAUUGUAAACUUUUAAUUCUUUAAAAUUUGGCAGUAAUUUUAUUUUCCCAUAAGUAGGUUAGGUUGAAAAUGUUGAAGUAGGUGAGCGUGUCUUUCAGUGGAAUUGGAAUGAAAUCUUUAAGUGUGAUUUUUCGGAGUAACCAGAUUUUAAAAUGCUACAUGCAAAAAAGAAUCAUUUUGCUUACAUAGUUCUCAGAACUACCUAUAUUGCAGAUAAUGCCAACAUUUGACCAUGUGUGAAGGGUUUCCCAGACAUCCACAUAAAUGGGGAUGGUGUUAAUUGGCACAUCCAAAUGCAGAAUUGUACUUAACCAUUCACUUUAAACUUACAUUCAAUUUAAAACAUUUUUUUGUGUCACACCUUGUCUGGCAACAGUAUGCUAUGGAAGGUACAACGUUCAUUAAAUUAUAUGGAAAAAAGUCAGAUGACAGUUGUAACGAGAUAUAACUGAACAUUCUAUUUUAACCUCAAACAUAAGUUUUUUAAUGAGAUUCUUGGGUCAUUGAAUGUUGUGGAACCUGACCUUUGUAAAGCAGUAAAUUUCCUAGAUUUGUUCUGCUUGUAGUUUUUGUAUUGAGACAAUGGAGCCUGUUUGACUGCUUAUGGGUAUACAUUAAAAAGGGCCGAGGGCUAAGGGCACUGGCUGCUUACAUGCUAAGAUCUCUUAAAACUUUUAAUAGCCUUUAUAUUCAGGCUUUGAAGUGUCUUGAACUUAGUGCUUUUAUUUUGGGUACCUUGUUGACAAGCCUCCACCCCCUUCCUCACCUCUAUAGGUUGUAUUAUUCUGGUGCAGUCUGUGCACCACCUUCAGAUCAGUGCAAGUGCACUCAUCUGCCUUUGUUCCCUGUGGCCUUUGACCUUUCUGACAGAUCUGCGGGCAAAGCAAAGCCCUCCAUUUUUUAAUUCCCCUUUUCUGCAGUCAAACAGAGGGAACAGACUGCAGUGGUGUCCAGCUAACCCCUUCAAUUCCUAUCAGUUUUUGUCACUUCUCAUCUACAUACCCCUUUCUACUGGUAUCAUAUAAUAUGCUUUACUAAUAAACCAGGUUUUUAAGGGGUUAAACUUGGGUUUACAUUACAGAAUUAAGUAAUAGUAGUAAAAUAUUCAAUGAUGUGUCUAUAUAUAGCAAAGUUCAGAAGUUGUUCUAUUCUAUAUUUUGAGAGAUGCUAUAGGCUCUUCACAUUUAGAAAUGUUCAGUCAGUUCCAUUGUUUCACUUCUCAUGAACUUCUGCCAUGCAAGAAAUUCAAGCACUUACUUUUCAAGUGUUCCACCACAUAAAGAGAACCAGGUUGAUUAACAAGAGCUGAUUAAUGUGUGUACAUCAACAGUGGUUUCAGUUUUAUUUUAAUGAGCAGCUGUGAACUGACAAACUGAGGUCAGGAAGAGGGGUAGAGAGAGAGGAAGUGAUGAAAGUGGCUGGCUCAAAGAACACAUGCUUCUAGAAAAUUAUGCCUUCACUGUACAACUUGUUUUGAUCUGACAGUAAAAAGAGCCUUACGCCCACAAUAUACAGAAUACACAAUAUGCAGUCAGAAGUGUGUAGAAGAAAAACCAAAAUCAACCAAUUACAGAAAUAUCCAAAUAAUAGAUAAAAAGUAAAAUAAGUUAUUGGAUAGCAUUACUGCUGAAAAAAUGAGUGGUUUUAGCAUGUACUGUUUCAUAUCCAUGGUGUAUGUGAAUGUAUGUCAUAUACUUAUGUCAUAUACAUAUACUUAUAUAACUAUUAAUUAGUAACAUUUAGUGUGUUUAAUUAAUAAAACCUGGCUGCUAAUUACUCUGUUAAUGACUGCAGCAGUAAGAAUUGGAAAGCUAGUUUGGAAUUUGCAAAGAAAUACCGAGAUGAGCCACAAAAGUUCUGGAAUCAAGAUUAACCCCCAAAGGGCACGGUGUGGAGAAAGAAAGUCUCUGCUCAUGAUCCAAAACAUAUGAGCUCAUUGGUCAUGGUGGAGGUAGUGUCAUGGCUUGGGCUUGCAUGGCUGCUUCUGGAACAGACUCAUUAAUCUUUAUUUAUGAUGUAACUCAUGAUGGUAGCAGCAGAAUGAAUUCAGAAGUCUACAGAAACAUUUUGUCUCCCAGUCUACAGAGAAAAGCAUCCAGUUUAAUUGGGAGGAAUUUCAGCAUGCAGUGACCCAAAACAUACUGCCAACAUAACAAAGGGAAAAAGUGGAAGGUUUUAGACUGGCCAAAUCAAUCACCAGACCUUAACCCAAUUAAGCAUGCAUUUCACUUCCUGAAGAGGAGACUGAUGGGAGAAACAAAGAAACAACUGAAAGAAGCUGCAGUACAAGCCCAGGAAAAGCAUCACAAAAAAAGAAUGCCACAGUUUGGUGAUGUCAGUGGGUUGCUGGCUUGAUGCAGUUUUUACAAACAGGAAAUGUGCAACCAAAUAUAAAGUGUUAUUUACUUUAAUUUCCUUUAAGACUAUCUGCUUUUGCUAUAGAUGUUUAUUUUAUGGCAUGUUCAUUAUUGAGUCAGUACAAAAAAAUUUCCAAAUGUUAUUUUUCCAACAAAAUUAAAUGUUACAGAAUAACAUUUGCAUGUCAGUAAAAAAAAGCUAAUUUUAUAACAUUUUUCAGACAAAAAAAACCAUAAUGAAGCAGUUUUAUAUUAAAAAAAAGGAAGUGCGACGGCGAAGGUGUACAAAGUUUCCAGUAAAACAGAACACUUCAGUCAAAUCUCCUUUGUCAGCUGUGCAAGUAGAGUGCUUCUGAGGCUAUGGUAAAACCAGACUCUGUUUUAAGAGUCUGUAUAAAGCCAAAUUUACCUGUCUUGUUAUUAAUUGAUUAUAAAACAUCUAACACAUUUAAAGCUUUUUUCUAGAUAUUUAACUAAUCUUAAGCUUGAAAUUGUCUAAUUUGUCACCUUAGUAAUAUUGUUUGACUUAAAUCAAGAUUAAAAAAAAAACCUCUCUAGGACACCAUGAAUUGAUUAAUCUGUUGAAUGACUAAUCAGCCUAUGAUUUUUAUCCAUUCAUAGUUCAGACUGAAUGUUGCACUUAGCUGUACUGCUGAGUCCUAUUAAGCCUGCGAAGCUUGUUUGCGGGAAGGGGGGGCAUGUAGGGAGGGACAGAGGCAGAGAGGAGGUGGGACCCAGAGGCUGGAAAGAAGGAAGUCCUAUGUGUAUAAAAGUGUCUUUUACUUCAGAACAUGCUUGCUGAGGCUUGCUUGCCUCCCC